RNAcentral lists this transfer RNA (67 nucleotides) under Cofana yasumatsui. Its description in RNAcentral is "tRNA-Ser". Lineage: Eukaryota; Metazoa; Arthropoda; Insecta; Hemiptera; Cicadellidae. The record is from RNAcentral.
AAGAGAAAAGUCCAAAGAAAUAGCUUCUAACUAAAUUCUAAAGCGGUUAGACUCCGUUUAUCUCUUA